Anolis carolinensis (green anole) is the source of this 1972-nucleotide long non-coding RNA. The record is from Ensembl. Lineage: Eukaryota; Metazoa; Chordata; Lepidosauria; Squamata; Anolidae.
GCUGGGAAUAUUCUUCGCAGGGAGUUUGUUCCCGAAGGGGUUGCAAGUUCCAGCACGUUUGUGCCAUCUGUUCAGGGCAACAUUCUUCCAAAUUUUGCAGUAAGGGAAAACCUGGUAAGGGUGGGGGAAAGAGUAACCACGAUCCCAAGAGAGGUUUCGGCUCAGGUGGGUUUUCCAAAGGGGCCCAGCCCAAUUAAUCUAGUUCAGUUAGAUUUGUGGUUAUCCAGUUAUCCCAAUUUAGGCGCAGCUAGUUAUCUGCGUGCUGGGUUUUUUGAGGGUUUUAGGAUUCCUGCAAUGGGACAUAGAGCUCCUUUCAGGGCACCGAAUCUGAAAUCUGUUAUUGGCAUGGAGGACGUUGUCCUUGCUAAAAUCAAUAAGGAAGUUGCAGAGGGUAGGGUUCUUGGCCCAUUUAGGUCUCCUCCCACUCCUAGGUUAAGGGUUUCGCCAUUAGGGAUUGUUCCAAAGAAGGCACCGGGGGAGUUUCGACUCAUUCACCACCUUUCCUAUCCCAGGGGAAGGUCAGUGAAUGACGCGAUUCCUGAUGAUUUUUGUACAGUCCACUAUACUUCUUUUGAUUCGGCGGUUAGGAAAGUUAGAUCUAGGGGGCCGGCGGCAGAAUUGGCAAAGUGUGACAUCAAGUCUGCUUUCCGGCUACUGCCUGUACAUCCGCUGGACUUCGAGCUGUUGGGUUUUCAGUUCAACGGGUUGUACUAUAUGGACAGGGCUCUUCCCAUGGGCUGUUCAGUUUCCUGUGCUGCUUUUGAGUCCUUUAGCACCUUUUUGGAGUGGGCCCUUAAAUCAAAAUCGGGUUUAUCGGGGGUUGUGCACUACCUGGAUGAUUUUUUAUUUAUAGGGAUGUCUGGUUCUGGAGAAUGCGAAUUUCUUCUGCAUUCUUUUCAGGAACUGGCCGAUCAGUUAGGGGUUCCCUUAGCCCCCGAUAAAACAGAGGGCCCGGCUACUAAAUUGACCUUUUUGGGGAUUGAGCUUGAUACAGUGCAGCAAGCCUCCAGUUUACCUAGGGAGAAAGUUUUUAAUCUAGUAGAUAGGAUUCGAGCUUUUGUUACCCGUAACAAGGCCACAUUGCGGGAGUUUCAGGAGCUUAUUGGGCAUUUAAAUUUUGCAUGCAGAGUUAUAGCUCCUGGGCGUCCUUUUUUGCGCAGACUCUGCGAUGCUAUUUCUGGGGUUAGACUUCCGCACUAUCAUGUGCGGAUUACACGUGGGAUCAAAGCUGAUUUGGACAUUUGGUUACAAUUUUUAAAUCAAUAUAAUGGGAUUUCCUUUUGGAGACAGGAUCUUUUGUUGAAGGAUGCUCUUCAGAUAGCUUCUGAUGCUUCUGGAGCCAUCGGCUUUGGUGUAUUUUUUAAUGGGCAUUGGUGUGCCGAGCUUUGGCCCAGGGAGUGGCACACCAAGGGUAUAACGUCCGAUUUAACAUUUUUGGAGUUUUUUCCAAUUUUGGUGGCUGUCACGCUGUGGGCUGAUCAAAUGACAAAUUCCACCGUUCAUUUUUGGUGUGAUAACCAGGCUACGGUGCAGGUUAUCAAUUCUUUAACAUCUAAGUCAGUCAGACUGAUGGAGGCUUUGAGGUUUUUUACACUCCACUGUCUAAAGUAUAAUAUACUGUUUAAAGCUUUUCAUAUUGCAGGGACAGAUAAUUCUCUCGCUGAUGCUCUGUCCCGUAUGCAGAUGGAUCGCUUCAGGCAGCUUGCCCCCAGCGCAGAUUUGCACCCCCAGAACAUGCCGGUCCAUCUUUGGAAAAUUGGGAACAGUCCAUAGUCCGGGGAAUGAAGUUGGCUUUGGCCACGACUUCCAGAAAAUCUUACGUCAGAGCGGUGCAGGAGUUUCAUGAGUUUAAAAAGUUGUAUGCCAUAAGUUCUGUUUCACCGAUUCCAUAUGAGCACGUCGCACAGUUUGGUGUUUUUCUGGAAAGGAAGGGGUUGGCCCCUCAAACUAUUCAUGCUAAAUUAUCUGCCCU